This 497-nucleotide ribosomal RNA is filed under the name uncultured bacterium. RNAcentral's name for it is "partial 16S ribosomal RNA". It matches the Rfam family "Bacterial small subunit ribosomal RNA", at positions 28 to 506 of the family's 1533-position model. The record is from RNAcentral.
GACGAACGCUGGCGGCGUGCCUAAUACAUGCAAGUCGAGCGGACGAUUCGAAAGCUUGCUUUUGCAUCGUUAGCGGCGGACGGGUGAGUAACACGUGGGCAACCUGCCCUGUAGACGGGGAUAACACCGAGAAAUCGGUGCUAAUACCGGAUAACACGAAAUGUCGCAUGACGUUUCGUUGAAAGGCGGCGCAAGCUGCCGCUACAGGAUGGGCCCGCGGCGCAUUAUCUAGUUGGUGAGGUAACGGCUCACCAAGGCGACGAUGGGUAGCGGACCUGAGAGGGAGAUCGGCCACACGGGGAGUGAGAAACGGCCCAGACUCCUAGGGGAGGCAGCAGUAGGAAAUCUUACGCAAUGGACGAAAGGCUGACGGAGCAAAGCCCGGGGAGGGAAGAAGGACUUCGGGUGGUAAAGCGCUGUUGUUAGGGAAGAACAAGUAACGUAGUAACUGACGUUACUAUGACGGUACCUAACGAGAAAGCCACGGCUAACUACGU